UACACACGUGCUACAAUGGGCGGUACAAAGGGUCGCGAACCCGCGAGGGGGAGCCGAAUCCCAAAAAAGCCCGCUACUCAGUUCGGAUUGCAGGCUGCAACUCGCCUGCAUGAAGCCGGAAUCGCUAGUAAUCGCGGAUCAGCAUGCCGCGGUGAAUACGUUCCCGGGCCUU
This 172-nucleotide ribosomal RNA is filed under the name uncultured Anoxybacillus sp. RNAcentral describes it as "partial 16S ribosomal RNA". It matches the Rfam family "Bacterial small subunit ribosomal RNA", at positions 1215 to 1382 of the family's 1533-position model. Lineage: Bacteria; Bacillati; Bacillota; Bacilli; Caryophanales; Anoxybacillaceae. The record is from RNAcentral.